AGUGCAGCAGCGGCGACAGCGGCUGCGGCCGUGGCCGUGCGGGAGGAGCCGGAAGCCCCGCCCCCGGGGAGGGGCCGUCCUGCAGGUCCCCCCUCUAUCCUCCACGGCCCCAUCCAAGCCAGGGAUGAAAUUUAACGGCAAGAAGGGCGCAGUUGACGCGGCGUCAAUGAACUGAGACUAAGUCAAAAGCCGGGUAAAGCUAGGUCUUCGACGUGAAGCCCCGCCCACUGUGCCCAUAGGCCCCUCCCCUGGGACGGUGAUGAAAGACCUGCCCACUCCGCUCGAAGGCCCCCGCCCCCUGGGUCUAGUUUCAGAACAAGACUUUUUUUGUACAGCCCUGCCCAUUCCAGGACUGCAGGGUCUGGUGGGGAAGGUCCCGCCCACUCUGCGCAUAGGCCCCGCCGGCUCCGCGCUUAAGACGGCCGCUGAGUUAGUUGUGGAGACCCCGCCCACUCUGCUCAAAGACUCCAACCCUGGGUUUAGAUCCGAAGGGACUGCCUCUGGCUUGAAUUUGCAUAGCCCCGCUCACUGUGCUCUUAGGCUCCGCCUCCCCGCU
Molecule: small RNA, 556 nt
Filed under: Pan troglodytes (chimpanzee)
Lineage: Eukaryota; Metazoa; Chordata; Mammalia; Primates; Hominidae
Description: retained intron
Source: RNAcentral